Molecule: ribosomal RNA, 497 nt
Filed under: uncultured bacterium
Lineage: Bacteria
Description: partial 16S ribosomal RNA
Rfam family: Bacterial small subunit ribosomal RNA
Source: RNAcentral
GAUGAACGCUGGCGGCGUGCCUAAUACAUGCAAGUCGAGCGAACAGAUGAGGAACUUGCUCCUCUGACGUUAGCGGCGGACGGGUGAGUAAAACGUGGAUAACCUACCUAUAAGACUGGGAUAACUUCGGGAAACCGGAGCUAAAACCGGAUAAUAUAUUGAACCGCAUGGUUCAAUAGUGAAAGACGGUUUUGCUGUCACUUAUAGAUGGAUCCGCGCCGCAUUAGCUAGUUGGUAAGGUAACGGCUUACCAAGGCAACGAUGCGUAGCCGACCUGAGAGGGUGAUCGGCCACACUGGAACUGAGACACGGUCCAGACUCCUACGGGAGGCAGCAGUAGGGAAUCUUGCGCAAUGGGCGAAAGCCUGACGGAGCAACGCCGCGUGAGUGAUGAAGGUCUUCGGAUCGUAAAACUCUGUUAGUAGGGAGGAACAAAUGUGUGAGUAACUAUGCGCGUCUUGACGGUACCUGAUCAGAAAGCCACGGCUAACUACGUG